UAUAUGUUGAAGUAUAGCUCCCUUUGCCUU
RNAcentral lists this non-coding RNA (30 nucleotides) under Rattus norvegicus (Norway rat). Lineage: Eukaryota; Metazoa; Chordata; Mammalia; Rodentia; Muridae. The record is from RNAcentral.